CCUACGGGAGGCAGCAGUAGGGAAUAUUGCUCAAUGGGGGAAACCCUGAAGCAGCAACGCCGCGUGGAGGAUGAAGGUUUUCGGAUUGUAAACUCCUUUUGUGAGAGAAGAUGAUGACGGUAUCUAACGAAUAAGCACCGGCUAACUCCGUGCCAGCAGCCGCGGUAAUACGGAGGGUGCAAGCGUUACUCGGAAUCACUGGGCGGAAAGGGCGCGUAGGCGGGGUAGCAAGUCAGAUGUGAAAACCUAUGGCUUAACCACAGCACUGCAUUUGAAACUGUUAUUCUUGAGUGUGGGAGAGGUAGGUGGAAUUCUUGGUGUAGGGGUGAAAUUCGUAGAGAUCAAGAGGAAUACUGAUGGCGAAGGCGACCUGCUGGAACAUAACUGACGCUGAGGCGCGAAAGCGUGGGGAGCAAACAGGAUUAGAUACCCUAGUAGUC
RNAcentral lists this ribosomal RNA (440 nucleotides) under uncultured bacterium. RNAcentral's name for it is "partial 16S ribosomal RNA". It matches the Rfam family "Bacterial small subunit ribosomal RNA", at positions 338 to 795 of the family's 1533-position model. The record is from RNAcentral.